This 376-nucleotide ribosomal RNA is filed under the name Sphingomonas sp. oral taxon A66. Its description in RNAcentral is "bacterial SSU rRNA". It matches the Rfam family "Bacterial small subunit ribosomal RNA", at positions 29 to 433 of the family's 1533-position model. The record is from RNAcentral. Lineage: Bacteria; Pseudomonadati; Pseudomonadota; Alphaproteobacteria; Sphingomonadales; Sphingomonadaceae.
AACGAACGCUGGCGGCAUGCCUAACACAUGCAAGUCGAACGAACCCUUCGGGGUUAGUGGCGCACGGGUGCGUAACGCGUGGGAAUCUGCCCUUUGCUUCGGAAUAACAGUUAGAAAUGACUGCUAAUACCGGAUGAUGUCUUCGGACCAAAGAUUUAUCGGCAAAGGAUGAACCCGCGUAGGAUUAGGUAGUUGGUGGGGUAAAGGCCUACCAAGCCGACGAUCCUUAGCUGGUCUGAGAGGAUGAUCAGCCACACUGGGACUGAGACACGGCCCAGACUCUACGGGAGGCAGCAGUGGGGAAUAUUGGACAAUGGGCGCAAGCCUGAUCCAGCAAUGCCGCGUGAGUGAUGAAGGCCUUCGGGUCGUAAAGCUC